RNAcentral lists this ribosomal RNA (44 nucleotides) under Egeria densa. Its description in RNAcentral is "partial 26S ribosomal RNA". The record is from RNAcentral. Lineage: Eukaryota; Viridiplantae; Streptophyta; Magnoliopsida; Alismatales; Hydrocharitaceae.
GGACCCUAGUCAGGCGUGGUCACCCGCUGAGUUUAAGCAUAUAU